CCCCUCUCAGGGUGGCACCUGGAGAGUUUCCAAUACUCUACCAGUCUCUGCUACAGGAGGGAGAGUCAAGCACAGGCCUACCCAUUCCGUUCCUAGCUUGGGCAGUGGCUAGCAAGUGGAAGGCAAUAUGCUACAAAU
Molecule: non-coding RNA, 138 nt
Organism: Ornithorhynchus anatinus (platypus)
Lineage: Eukaryota; Metazoa; Chordata; Mammalia; Monotremata; Ornithorhynchidae
Source: Rfam